RNAcentral lists this long non-coding RNA (248 nucleotides) under Solanum tuberosum (potato). RNAcentral's name for it is "long non-coding RNA (STUB_LNC011856)". The record is from RNAcentral. Lineage: Eukaryota; Viridiplantae; Streptophyta; Magnoliopsida; Solanales; Solanaceae.
AAGCAGCAUUUUUGGGAUAACAAAAGGUAAUAUUGGGACAUCCAUUAUCCAUGAAAUUCCACACCAUGCACCAACUGACCCUCAGGGAUUUCUCAGUAAUCAAAGGGAAAAAAAGGUCUGCCUUAUCUAUGCUUUUGGUUUGUUCUAGAACAACAUUAUUCAAACUCAUUGAUGGUGUUAAGAAUGAGGGAACCAGCUGAUAUCCUAAAGUUUCAAAUAAUGAGACACAAAACAUUUAUAUGGCGUGA